Molecule: unclassified non-coding RNA, 290 nt
Filed under: Amphibolurus centralis (Centralian lashtail)
Lineage: Eukaryota; Metazoa; Chordata; Lepidosauria; Squamata; Agamidae
Description: contains tRNA-Trp, tRNA-Ala, tRNA-Asn, tRNA-Cys, and tRNA-Tyr
Source: RNAcentral
UAGAGACUUAGGAUAAACAAACCAAGGACCUUCAAAGUCCUAAAUAAGAGCUACCCUCUUAGUCCCUGCCUAAAACCUAUAGAACUAUUCUACAUCUCCUGAUUGCAAAUCAGAUACUUUAAUUAAACUAAGGCUUCCAGGAGUUGGAGGGCCUCGAUCCCACACAACAUUAGUUAACAGCUAACACGCCAACCAACAGGCAUCAACUCCAUUACUCCAUUAAGCCUAAGGGCCACACUUUUGGACCGCCAUUUGAUUUGCACUCAAACACUUACUUAAGCUAACAUAAU